AUUUGACCGUCGGGCAGUUUUACUUCCUCAUCCGGAAGCGUAUUCAUUUGAGGCCUGAGGACGCUUUGUUCUUCUUUGUUAACAAUGUUAUUCCGCCCACGUCGGCGACCAUGGGCACGUUGUACCAGGAACAUCACGAAGAAGAUUUCUUCCUCUACAUCGCGUACUCCGAUGAGAACGUCUACGGUCAGAGCGCCUAGAGUCCUCACGAGAAGCCCAGAUCUUCGCGCACUCAAUCGACAAGAAUGCCGUUUACGUGCCGCCAAUCUCGCCCUCGACAACCCGCGUGUAUAUUUACCAUUCUACUUUGGUAACGAUUAUU
This is a long non-coding RNA of Dalotia coriaria, 322 nucleotides long. RefSeq lists it as uncharacterized. The transcript is spliced from 2 exons. The record is from RefSeq and is a predicted model, not a curated record. NCBI's taxonomy places the organism in Eukaryota, Metazoa, Arthropoda, Insecta, Coleoptera, Staphylinidae.